UUAAGCGACUAAGCGUACACGGUGGAUGCCCUGGCAGUCAGAGGCGAUGAAGGACGUGCUAAUCUGCGAUAAGCGUCGGUAAGGUGAUAUGAACCGUUAUAACCGGCGAUUUCCGAAUGGGGAAACCCAGUGUGUUUCGACACACUAUCAUUAACUGAAUCCAUAGGUUAAUGAGGCGAACCGGGGGAACUGAAACAUCUAAGUACCCCGAGGAAAAGAAAUCAACCGAGAUUCCCCCAGUAGCGGCGAGCGAACGGGGAGCAGCCCAGAGCCUGAAUCAGUGUGUGUGUUAGUGGAAGCGUCUGGAAAGGCGCGCGAUACAGGGUGACAGCCCCGUACACAAAAAUGCACAUGCUGUGAGCUCGAUGAGUAGGGCGGGACACGUGGUAUCCUGUCUGAAUAUGGGGGGACCAUCCUCCAAGGCUAAAUACUCCUGACUGACCGAUAGUGAACCAGUACCGUGAGGGAAAGGCGAAAAGAACCCCGGCGAGGGGAGUGAAAAAGAACCUGAAACCGUGUACGUACAAGCAGUGGGAGCACGCUUAGGCGUGUGACUGCGUACCUUUUGUAUAAUGGGUCAGCGACUUAUAUUCUGUAGCAAGGUUAACCGAAUAGGGGAGCCGAAGGGAAACCGAGUCUUAACUGGGCGUUAAGUUGCAGGGUAUAGACCCGAAACCCGGUGAUCUAGCCAUGGGCAGGUUGAAGGUUGGGUAACACUAACUGGAGGACCGAACCGACUAAUGUUGAAAAAUUAGCGGAUGACUUGUGGCUGGGGGUGAAAGGCCAAUCAAACCGGGAGAUAGCUGGUUCUCCCCGAAAGCUAUUUAGGUAGCGCCUCGUGAAUUCAUCUCCGGGGGUAGAGCACUGUUUCGGCAAGGGGGUCAUCCCGACUUACCAACCCGAUGCAAACUGCGAAUACCGGAGAAUGUUAUCACGGGAGACACACGGCGGGUGCUAACGUCCGUCGUGAAGAGGGAAACAACCCAGACCGCCAGCUAAGGUCCCAAAGUCAUGGUUAAGUGGGAAACGAUGUGGGAAGGCCCAGACAGCCAGGAUGUUGGCUUAGAAGCAGCCAUCAUUUAAAGAAAGCGUAAUAGCUCACUGGUCGAGUCGGCCUGCGCGGAAGAUGUAACGGGGCUAAACCAUGCACCGAAGCUGCGGCAGCGACACUAUGUGUUGUUGGGUAGGGGAGCGUUCUGUAAGCCUGUGAAGGUGUGCUGUGAGGCAUGCUGGAGGUAUCAGAAGUGCGAAUGCUGACAUAAGUAACGAUAAAGCGGGUGAAAAGCCCGCUCGCCGGAAGACCAAGGGUUCCUGUCCAACGUUAAUCGGGGCAGGGUGAGUCGACCCCUAAGGCGAGGCCGAAAGGCGUAGUCGAUGGGAAACAGGUUAAUAUUCCUGUACUUGGUGUUACUGCGAAGGGGGGACGGAGAAGGCUAUGUUGGCCGGGCGACGGUUGUCCCGGUUUAAGCGUGUAGGCUGGUUUUCCAGGCAAAUCCGGAAAAUCAAGGCUGAGGCGUGAUGACGAGGCACUACGGUGCUGAAGCAACAAAUGCCCUGCUUCCAGGAAAAGCCUCUAAGCAUCAGGUAACAUCAAAUCGUACCCCAAACCGACACAGGUGGUCAGGUAGAGAAUACCAAGGCGCUUGAGAGAACUCGGGUGAAGGAACUAGGCAAAAUGGUGCCGUAACUUCGGGAGAAGGCACGCUGAUAUGUAGGUGAAGUCCCUCGCGGAUGGAGCUGAAAUCAGUCGAAGAUACCAGCUGGCUGCAACUGUUUAUUAAAAACACAGCACUGUGCAAACACGAAAGUGGACGUAUACGGUGUGACGCCUGCCCGGUGCCGGAAGGUUAAUUGAUGGGGUUAGCCGCAAGGCGAAGCUCUUGAUCGAAGCCCCGGUAAACGGCGGCCGUAACUAUAACGGUCCUAAGGUAGCGAAAUUCCUUGUCGGGUAAGUUCCGACCUGCACGAAUGGCGUAAUGAUGGCCAGGCUGUCUCCACCCGAGACUCAGUGAAAUUGAACUCGCUGUGAAGAUGCAGUGUACCCGCGGCAAGACGGAAAGACCCCGUGAACCUUUACUAUAGCUUGACACUGAACAUUGAGCCUUGAUGUGUAGGAUAGGUGGGAGGCUUUGAAGUGUGGACGCCAGUCUGCAUGGAGCCGACCUUGAAAUACCACCCUUUAAUGUUUGAUGUUCUAACGUUGACCCGUAAUCCGGGUUGCGGACAGUGUCUGGUGGGUAGUUUGACUGGGGCGGUCUCCUCCUAAAGAGUAACGGAGGAGCACGAAGGUUGGCUAAUCCUGGUCGGACAUCAGGAGGUUAGUGCAAUGGCAUAAGCCAGCUUGACUGCGAGCGUGACGGCGCGAGCAGGUGCGAAAGCAGGUCAUAGUGAUCCGGUGGUUCUGAAUGGAAGGGCCAUCGCUCAACGGAUAAAAGGUACUCCGGGGAUAACAGGCUGAUACCGCCCAAGAGUUCAUAUCGACGGCGGUGUUUGGCACCUCGAUGUCGGCUCAUCACUCCGGGCUGAAGUAGGUCCCAAGGGUAUGGCUGUUCGCCAUUUAAAGUGGUACGCGAGCUGGGUUUAGAACGUCGUGAGACAGUUCGGUCCCUAUCUGCCGUGGGCGCUGGAGAACUGAGGGGGGCUGCUCCUAGUACGAGAGGACCGGAGUGGACGCAUCACUGGUGUUCGGGUUGUCAUGCCAAUGGCACUGCCCGGUAGCUAAAUGCGGAAGAGAUAAGUGCUGAAAGCAUCUAAGCACGAAACUUGCCCCGAGAUGAGUUCUCCCUGACUCCUUGAGAGUCCUGAAGGAACGUUGAAGACGACGACGUUGAUAGGCCGGGUGUGUAAGCGCAGCGAUGCGUUGAGCUAACCGGUACUAAUGAACCGUGAGGCUUAACCU
This 2899-nucleotide ribosomal RNA is filed under the name Escherichia coli. RNAcentral describes it as "bacterial LSU rRNA". It matches the Rfam family "Bacterial large subunit ribosomal RNA". Lineage: Bacteria; Pseudomonadati; Pseudomonadota; Gammaproteobacteria; Enterobacterales; Enterobacteriaceae. The record is from RNAcentral.